Molecule: ribosomal RNA, 388 nt
Filed under: uncultured bacterium
Lineage: Bacteria
Description: bacterial SSU rRNA
Rfam family: Bacterial small subunit ribosomal RNA
Source: RNAcentral
GACGAACGCUGGCGGCGUGCUUAACACAUGCAAGUCGAGCGGUAAGGCCCUUUCGGGGGUACACGAGCGGCGAACGGGUGAGUAACACGUGGGUGACCUGCCCUCAGCUCUGGGAUAAGCCUGGGAAACCGGGUCUAAUACUGGAUAUGACUCCAUGACGCAUGUUGUGGGGUGGAAAGCCUUGUGCGGCUGAGGAUGGGCCCGCGGCCUAUCAGCUUGUUGGUGGGGUGAUGGCCUACCAAGGCGACGACGGGUAGCCGGCCUGAGAGGGCGACCGGCCACACUGGGACUGAGGACACGGCCCAGACUCCUACGGGAGGCAGCAGGUGGGAAUCUUGCGCAAUGGGCGAAAGCCUGACGCAGCGACGCCGCGUGAGGGAUGACGGCC